Molecule: ribosomal RNA, 301 nt
Filed under: uncultured bacterium
Lineage: Bacteria
Description: partial 16S ribosomal RNA
Rfam family: Bacterial small subunit ribosomal RNA
Source: RNAcentral
CAGUAGCCGCGGUAAUACGUAGGGUGCGAGCGUUAAUCGGAAUUACUGGGCGUAAAGCGUGCGCAGGCGGUUCGUUAAGACAGAUGUGAAACCCCCGGGCUUAACCUGGGAACUGCAUUUGUGACUGGCGAGCUAGAGUAUGGCAGAGGGGGGUAGAAUUCCACGUGUAGCAGUGAAAUGCGUAGAGAUGUGGAGGAAUACCGAUGGCGAAGGCAGCCCCCUGGGCCAAUACUGACGCUCAUGCACGAAAACGUGGGGAGCAAACAGGAUUAGAUACCCCGGUAGUCCCUGUCUCUUAUAA